RNAcentral lists this small RNA (126 nucleotides) under Marmota monax (woodchuck). The record is from RNAcentral. Lineage: Eukaryota; Metazoa; Chordata; Mammalia; Rodentia; Sciuridae.
GCUGGGAGUGGUGGUGCAUGCCUAUAAUUCCAGCAGCCCAGGAGGCUGAGACAGGAGGAUCGAGAGUUCAAGCCAGCCUCAGCAACUUAGUGAGGUCCCAAACAACUCAGUGAGACCCUGUCUCUC